This 374-nucleotide unclassified non-coding RNA is filed under the name soil metagenome. RNAcentral describes it as "partial contains 5.8S ribosomal RNA, internal transcribed spacer 2, and large subunit ribosomal RNA". The stretch from base 2 to 119 matches the Rfam family "5.8S ribosomal RNA", at positions 37 to 154 of the family's 154-position model. The record is from RNAcentral.
GUGAAGAACGUAGCGAAAUGCGAUAAGUAAUGUGAAUUGCAGAAUUCAGUGAAUCAUCGAAUCUUUGAACGCACAUUGCGCCCGCCAGUAUUCUGGCGGGCAUGCCUGUUCGAGCGUCAUUUCAACCCUCAAGACCCCUUCGGGGGACUUGGUGUUGGGGACCGGCACAGGGGCCUGCCUGCUUGUCUUGCAGCGCCCUCGCCGCCCCCGAAAUGAAUUGGCGGCCUCGUCGCGGCCUCCCCUGCGUAGUAGCACAAACCUCGCAACGGGAACGUGACGGCGGCCACUGCCGUAAAACAACCCAAUUUUAUUAGAGUUGACCUCGAAUCAGGUAGGAAUACCCGCUGAACUUAAGCAUAUCAAUAAGCGGAGGA